GGCGGGACACGUGGUAUCCUGUCUGAAUAUGGGGGGACCAUCCUCCAAGGCUAAAUACUCCUGACUGACCGAUAGUGAACCAGUACCGUGAGGGAAAGGCGAAAAGAACCCCGGCGAGGGGAGUGAAAAAGAACCUGAAACCGUGUACGUACAAGCAGUGGGAGCACAGGUUUACCUGUGUGACUGCGUACCUUUUGUAUAAUGGGUCAGCGACUUAUAUUCUGUAGCAAGGUUAACCGAAUAGGGGAGCCGGAGGGAAACCGAGUCUUAAUUGGGCGUUAAGUUGCAGGGUAUAGACCCGAAACCCGGUGAUCUAGCCAUGGGCAGGUUGAAGGUUGGGUAACACUAACUGGAGGACCGAACCGACUAAUGUUGAAAAAUUAGCGGAUGACCUGUGGCUGGGGGUGAAAGGCCAAUCAAACCGGGAGAUAGCUGGUUCUCCCCGAAAGCUAUUUAGGUAGCGCCUCGUGAAUUCAUCUCCGGGGGUAGAGCACUGUUUCGGCUAGGGGGCCAUCCCGGCUUACCAACCCGAUGCAAACUGCGAAUACCGGAGAAUGUUAUCACGGGAGACACACGGCGGGUGCUAACGUCCGUCGUGAAGAGGGAAACAACCCAGACCGCCAGCUAAGGUCCCAAAGUCAUGGUUAAGUGGGAAACGAUGUGGGAAGGCCCAGACAGCCAGGAUGUUGGCUUAGAAGCAGCCAUCAUUUAAAGAAAGCGUAAUAGCUCACUGGUCGAGUCGGCCUGCGCGGAAGAUGUAACGGGGCUAAACCAUGCACCGAAGCUGCGGCAGCGAACGUAUCACCCAAGACAACUUUACGGAGUUGACGAUUGACGGAGCGAAGCGACGUCAAAGCGUUCAUUAAAGUCGAGUUGGCUUAGGGAUACGUUCGUUGGGUAGGGGAGCGUUCUGUAAGCCUGUGAAGGUGUGUCGUGAGGC
This 940-nucleotide ribosomal RNA is filed under the name Salmonella enterica subsp. enterica. RNAcentral describes it as "partial 23S ribosomal RNA". It matches the Rfam family "Bacterial large subunit ribosomal RNA", at positions 416 to 1269 of the family's 2925-position model. Lineage: Bacteria; Pseudomonadati; Pseudomonadota; Gammaproteobacteria; Enterobacterales; Enterobacteriaceae. The record is from RNAcentral.